Molecule: ribosomal RNA, 397 nt
Filed under: uncultured bacterium
Lineage: Bacteria
Description: partial 16S ribosomal RNA
Rfam family: Bacterial small subunit ribosomal RNA
Source: RNAcentral
AUACGUAGGGGGCGAGCGUUGACCGGAAUGAUUGGGCGUAAAGGGCGCGUAGGCGGCGCGGUACGUCUGGAGUGAAAGUCCUGCUUUCAAGGUGGGAAUUGCUUUGGAUCCUGCCGCGCUUGAGUGCCGGAGAGGUUAUCGGAAUUCCCGGUGUAGCGGUGAAAUGCGUAGAGAUCGGGAGGAACACCAGUGGCGAAGGCAGGUAACUUGACUGUAACUGACGCUGAGGCGCGAAAGUGUGGGGAGCAAACAGGAUUAGAUACCCUGGUAGUCCACACUGUAAACGAUGAAUGCUAGGUGUAGGGGGUAUCGACCCCUUCUGUGCCGCAGUCAACACAAUAAGCAUUCCGCCUGGGGAGUACGGCCGCAAGGUUGAAACUCAAAGGAAUUGGCGGGG